AGUCAAAAACAACCGCCACUUCUCAAUAUUGGCAUUGUACGAGUUUCAUAUUUGCUUUCAUUUGUUCAGCUCAAGUUUGGAAAAGUGUGAAAAUGUACAAGAAGCAGGAGAAUUGUACACUUUACUUCUGAGAACUGCGUCCCCUUUGAAGGGAGUUGGGAACCAGAGAAGAAUCUCCUAGAGGAGGAGUCCACUCUUCUGCAACCUCCUUUUUGCUGAUCAUGACUUGGACCGUUAUACGAGAUGUUGAAUUGAGUUUCUCCCAUUGAUUGGUUCAACCUUUCAGAUGCUGCUGUGGGUCUGAACCACAGCCAGGUUGGAGUGGUCUGCGAGUUGGGAGGAUCUCUCAGCCUAGACUGGCAAUCGCAGGCAAAAAUAGAAUGGGACCCACCCAUGUCAACUACAGAUUGUCUAGUAGUUCUAUGGCAAAAAGAAACAAGUCAAAAAUCAAAUCAUUGUAAUGGGUAAAAUGGUACCACUUCAACAUGUA
This is a long non-coding RNA of Neofelis nebulosa (Clouded leopard), 490 nucleotides long. RefSeq lists it as uncharacterized. The record is from RefSeq and is a predicted model, not a curated record. The transcript is spliced from 3 exons. NCBI's taxonomy places the organism in Eukaryota, Metazoa, Chordata, Mammalia, Carnivora, Felidae.